Molecule: ribosomal RNA, 441 nt
Filed under: uncultured bacterium
Lineage: Bacteria
Description: partial 16S ribosomal RNA
Rfam family: Bacterial small subunit ribosomal RNA
Source: RNAcentral
CCUACGGGAGGCAGCAGUGGGGAAUAUUGCACAAUGGGGGAAACCCUGAUGCAGCGACGCCGCGUGAGUGAAGAAGUAUUUCGGUAUGUAAAGCUCUAUCAGCAGGGAAGAAAAAAGACGGUACCUGACUAAGAAGCCCCGGCUAACUACGUGCCAGCAGCCGCGGUACUACGGAGGGGGCAAGCGUUAUCCGGAUUUACUGGGUGUAAAGGGAGCGUAGACGGCGCGGCAAGUCUGAAGUGAAAGUCAGGGGCUGAACCCCUGAACGGCUUUGGACACUGCCAUGCUAGAGUGCUGGAGAGGUAAGUGGAAUGCCUAGUGUAGCGGUGAAAUGCGUAGAUAUUAGGAGGAACACCAGUGGCGAAGGCGGCUUACUGGACAGUAACUGACGUUGAGGCUCGAAAGCGUGGGGAGCAAACAGGAUUAGAUACCCCUGUAGUC